GCUGGGCAUUGUGGUGUGUGCCUGUAAUCCCAGCAGCUUGGGAGGCUGAGGCAGGAGGAUUGCGAAUUUAAAGCCAGCCUCAG
This 83-nucleotide small RNA is filed under the name Marmota monax (woodchuck). Lineage: Eukaryota; Metazoa; Chordata; Mammalia; Rodentia; Sciuridae. The record is from RNAcentral.